Molecule: ribosomal RNA, 429 nt
Filed under: bacterium
Lineage: Bacteria
Description: partial 16S ribosomal RNA
Rfam family: Bacterial small subunit ribosomal RNA
Source: RNAcentral
UAGGGAAUCUUCGGCAAUGGGGGCAACCCUGACCGAGCAACGCCGCGUGAGUGAAGAAGGUUUUCGGAUCGUAAAGCUCUGUUGUAAGAGAAGAACGUGUGUGAGAGUGGAAAGUUCACACAGUGACGGUAACUUACCAGAAAGGUACGGCUAACUACGUGCCAGCAGCCGCGGUAAUACGUAGGUCCCGAGCGUUGUCCGGAUUUAUUGGGCGUAAAGCGAGCGCAGGCGGUUUAAUAAGUCUGAAGUUAAAGGCAGUGGCUUAACCAUUGUUCGCUUUGGAAACUGUUAAACUUGAGUGCAGAAGGGGAGAGUGGAAUUCCAUGUGUAGCGGUGAAAUGCGUAGAUAUAUGGAGGAACACCGGUGGCGAAAGCGGCUCUCUGGUCUGUAACUGACGCUGAGGCUCGAAAGCGUGGGGAGCAAACAGG